GAUGAAGAACGCAGUGAAAUGCGAUAAGUAGUGUGAAUUGCAGAAUUCAGUGAAUCAUCGAAUCUUUGAACGCACAUUGCGCCCCUUGGUAUUCCAUGGGGCAUGCCUGUUCGAGCGUCAUUUGUACCUUCAAGCUCUGCUUGGUGUUGGGUGUUUGUCUCGCCUCUGCGCGCAGACUCGCCUCAAAACAAUUGGCAGCCGGCGUAUUGAUUUCGGAGCGCAGUACAUCUCGCGCUUUGCACUCAUAACGACGACGUCCAAAAGUACAUUUUUACACUCUUGACCUCGGAUCAGGUAGGGAUACCCGCUGAACUUAAGCAUAUCAAUAAGCGGAGGA
This 337-nucleotide unclassified non-coding RNA is filed under the name soil metagenome. Its description in RNAcentral is "partial contains 5.8S ribosomal RNA, internal transcribed spacer 2, and large subunit ribosomal RNA". The stretch from base 1 to 120 matches the Rfam family "5.8S ribosomal RNA", at positions 35 to 154 of the family's 154-position model. The record is from RNAcentral.